This 93-nucleotide long non-coding RNA is filed under the name Phascolarctos cinereus (koala). Its description in RNAcentral is "lncRNA (ENSPCIG00000009939.2)". Lineage: Eukaryota; Metazoa; Chordata; Mammalia; Diprotodontia; Phascolarctidae. The record is from RNAcentral.
CCACCAGAUAAUUGAUGCAGGAGAAACACCCUUUGGAGGGGCUGUUAAUUACUUCAUGGUUUUCAUGCUGAGAUAGAAAUGAUGAGAUUUGGC